AACGAACGCUGGCGGCAUGCCUAACACAUGCAAGUCGAACGAGACCUUCGGGUCUAGUGGCGCACGGGUGCGUAACGCGUGGGAACCUGCCCUUAGGUUCGGAAUAACUCCCCGAAAGGGGUGCUAAUACCGGAUAAUGUCUUCGGACCAAAGAUUUAUCGCCUUUGGAUGGGCCUGCGUUGGAUUAGCUAGUUGGUAGGGUAAAAGCCUACCAAGGCGACGAUCCAUAGCUGGUCUGAGAGGAUGAUCAGCCACACUGGGACUGAGACACGGCCCAGACUCCUACGGGAGGCAGCAGUGGGGAAUAUUGGACAAUGGGCGAAAGCCUGAUCCAGCAAUGCCGCGUGAGUGAUGAAGGCCUUAGGGUUAUAAAGCUCUUUUACCCGGGAUGAUAAUGACAGUACCGGGAGAAUAAGCUCCGGCUAACUCCGUG
Molecule: ribosomal RNA, 433 nt
Filed under: uncultured bacterium
Lineage: Bacteria
Description: partial 16S ribosomal RNA
Rfam family: Bacterial small subunit ribosomal RNA
Source: RNAcentral